UACGUAGGUGGCAAGCGUUGUCCGGAUUUAUUGGGCGUAAAGCGGGCGCAGGCGGAAAGAUAAGUCUGAUGUGAAAGCCCCCGGCUUAACCGAGGAAUUGCAUCGGAAACUGUGUUUCUUGAGUGCAGAAGAGGAGAGUGGAACUCCAUGUGUAGCGGUGGAAUGCGUAGAUAUAUGGAAGAACGCCAGCGGCGAAGGCGAUUCACUGGACUGUAACUGACACUGAGGCACGAAAGCGUGGGGAGCAAACAGG
RNAcentral lists this ribosomal RNA (253 nucleotides) under uncultured Lactobacillus sp. Its description in RNAcentral is "partial 16S ribosomal RNA". It matches the Rfam family "Bacterial small subunit ribosomal RNA", at positions 524 to 776 of the family's 1533-position model. The record is from RNAcentral. Lineage: Bacteria; Bacillati; Bacillota; Bacilli; Lactobacillales; Lactobacillaceae.